RNAcentral lists this ribosomal RNA (162 nucleotides) under Adenochilus nortonii. Its description in RNAcentral is "5.8S ribosomal RNA". It matches the Rfam family "5.8S ribosomal RNA". Rfam says of the family: 5.8S ribosomal RNA (5.8S rRNA) is a component of the large subunit of the eukaryotic ribosome. It is transcribed by RNA polymerase I as part of the 45S precursor that also contains 18S and 28S rRNA. Lineage: Eukaryota; Viridiplantae; Streptophyta; Magnoliopsida; Asparagales; Orchidaceae. RNAcentral also lists the same sequence under 1 other name. The record is from RNAcentral.
UAGGACUCUCGGCAAUGGAUAUCUUGGCUCUUGCAUCGAUGAAGAGCGCAGCGAAAUGCGAUACGUGGUGCGAAUUGCAGAAUCCCGUGAACCAUCGAGUUUUUGAACGCAAGUUGCGCCUGAGGCCAACUGGCUGAGGGCACGUCCGCCUGGGCGUCAUGC